This 206-nucleotide ribosomal RNA is filed under the name uncultured bacterium. RNAcentral's name for it is "partial 16S ribosomal RNA". It matches the Rfam family "Bacterial small subunit ribosomal RNA", at positions 568 to 774 of the family's 1533-position model. The record is from RNAcentral.
CUCGUAGGCGGCCAACUAAGUCAGACGUGAAAUCCCUCGGCUUAACCGGGGAACUGCAUCUGAUACUGGAUGGCUUGAGUUCGGGAGAGGGAUGCGGAAUUCCAGGUGUAGCGGUGAAAUGCGUAGAUAUCUGGAGGAACACCGGUGGCGAAGGCGGCAUCCUGGACCGAUACUGACGCUGAGGAGCGAAAGCCAGGGAGCAAACG